UACCGAGGGUGCAAGCGUUGCUCGGAAUUAUUGGGCGUAAAGGGUAGGUAGGUGGUCUCAUUUGUCUGGGGUGAAAUCCUUGGGCUUAACCCAAGAAGUGCCCCAGAAACGGUGAGACUGGAGUCCUGGAGAGGGUCGUGGAAUUCCCGGUGUAGCGGUGAAAUGCGUAGAGAUCGGGAGGAACAUCAGUUGCGAAGGCGGCUCUCUGGACCAGCACUGACACUGAGGCACGAAAGCGUGGGGAGCAAACAGG
Molecule: ribosomal RNA, 253 nt
Filed under: uncultured bacterium
Lineage: Bacteria
Description: partial 16S ribosomal RNA
Rfam family: Bacterial small subunit ribosomal RNA
Source: RNAcentral